GCGACGUGCCAACACUACUAAACGUCUGCAGAUUAGAAGGUCGACCAACUCGGGAUUACGGUCCUCUUGUGCCAACCAACUAUUUCGCUUGGAUCCCGCUCCAAAAUGGUUUUUGUAUCACUUGCAUGGAAAAGCUCAAUGGCAGAGCAGCUGAUUGUUUGUACCGGACAUGAGAAAAUAGAAAUAAAUAAUUGUCAGUAUGUAAAGAACUUUUUACCGGAGAUUUAUUAGAUCUUGUUUUGUGUUUCUAGACAGGAAGAAGUACUGGACGAAGGUAGAGGAAGAAAGACACCAAAAGAAAGUGGCCAUCAAAGCUUCGGAAACGACAGCAGCCAGAUAAAAGUGACGAAAGCGAGAGCGUCUGGACUCAAUCAGCGUCUGCUCGUCACAUGUUGUUAAAUCCAAAGCGGCAGCGGGGGCUCGUUCCAGCAGUGACUUCGCCGCUGCUCAUUUUGAUGGAGAAAACCAGGAAGUUCUCACACACAAAUAAAGGAUUUCCACGCAUGUCAGCCAAGAAAAACAAAUUAUUUCCCCAUUUGGAAUUUCAAACAAAUGUCCCGCUGAUGGCUCCCAUCCCAAACUUCUGUAUAAUGACGAACAAGCCCAGAAAAGAUUCCACAUAGGUAAAACAUUCUUUUUCUUCUCCCCCACUCGCUUCAAGCCCGUCCCUGGACGUGUGUACACAUUGAGGAUUUAAUAGCCGUUUAGAGAGCUUGUGAGAAAGUCAAACACUUUUUCCCACAAUCUGAAAGAAGAUUCAUCAUUCGCACGUGUUUACUUUAGUCAAAAAAGCCCCAGACGCGAUGACCGUGUGUGUGUGCGUGUGUGUCUGUGUGUGUGUGUGUGUGGGCAAGAAAAAAAAGAAUACAAAAGUUUAACCAUUUUGUCUGUUGUCUCACCGUGCAAGAUGACACAUUUAUUGUUGCAGGAAGUUAAAAACAAAAUGAGCGAACUUGUUGUAUUGCAUAUAUACAGGGUGUGCACACUUAUUCAACUUCAUGACCGCACUUAUUUUGACUUCGCCAGUUGGAAAAAAAAUAUUUUUGAAUUUAAUGGUACAGGUAGGUCGCAAUAAUGGAGAAAAAAAAAGUUUUGGAGUGAUUUAUCUUGAUUUCAUUAUUUUACAUUUGAACAAGGAAGUGUGUGCAGACUUUUUAUAACCACUGUUUUAAUGUUAUAGGAAUUCUUUUUUUAUGAAUGUGAUGUUUAUGAAAGAGAGCCUGUUAAUAGUGCUUAGGAAAAGGAGGAGUUUUUUCCCCAAAUAGAUGAUGUCACUUUUCCAGCAUCAACAAAGUAUUAUCUUAUCUAUACUCUUGCGUGUGUGUGUGUGUGUGUGU
This is a long non-coding RNA of Syngnathus acus (greater pipefish), 1337 nucleotides long. RefSeq lists it as uncharacterized. NCBI's taxonomy places the organism in Eukaryota, Metazoa, Chordata, Actinopteri, Syngnathiformes, Syngnathidae. The record is from RefSeq and is a predicted model, not a curated record. The transcript has 4 exons.